RNAcentral lists this microRNA precursor (61 nucleotides) under Schmidtea mediterranea. Its description in RNAcentral is "Sme-Mir-10-P3s_pre stem-loop". Lineage: Eukaryota; Metazoa; Platyhelminthes; Tricladida; Dugesiidae. The record is from RNAcentral.
UCCCUGAGACCAUUGACUGCAUUUGUUUGAGGUUUCAAUGUAGUUUUUGGUAUCAGGAUUG